GCUUCGAUAGCUCAGUUGGUAGAGUGGAGGACUGUCAAUCCUUAGUUUGCUGGUUCAAAUCCAGCUUGAAAAA
Non-coding RNA from Acanthochromis polyacanthus (spiny chromis), 73 nucleotides. Lineage: Eukaryota; Metazoa; Chordata; Actinopteri; Pomacentridae. The record is from the annotation of a RefSeq genome assembly.